UUACGGCCAUAUCACGUUGAAAUAUCGGUUUCCAUACGGUCACCGAAGUUAAGCAACAUCGAACCUGGUUAGUACCUAGAUGGAUGACCGGUUGGGAAUAACAGGUUCUGUAAG
Non-coding RNA from Acanthosepion pharaonis, 114 nucleotides. The record is from the annotation of a GenBank genome assembly. NCBI's taxonomy places the organism in Eukaryota, Metazoa, Mollusca, Cephalopoda, Sepiida, Sepiidae.